CCUACGGGUGGCAGCAGUGAGGAAUAUUCGUCAAUGAGCUUACGCCUGAACCAGCCACGUCGCGUGCGCGAAGACUGCCCUAUGGUUUGUAAACCUCUUUUGUCAGGGAGCAACGCCGCCUACGUGUAGCCGGGCUGAGAGUACCUGAAUAAACAGCAUCGGCUAACUCCGUACCAGCAGCCGCGGUAAUACGGAGGAUGCGAGCGUUAUCGGGAUUUAUUGGGUUUAAAGGGUGCGUAGGCGGAAUGCCAAGUCAGCGGUAAAAUCGCGGGGCUCAACCUCGCUCCGCCGUUGAUACUGGCGUACUAGAGUGGGCUAGAAGUAUGCGGAAUGCGAGGUGUAGCGGUGAAAUGCAUAGAUA
This 361-nucleotide ribosomal RNA is filed under the name uncultured bacterium. RNAcentral describes it as "partial 16S ribosomal RNA". It matches the Rfam family "Bacterial small subunit ribosomal RNA", at positions 338 to 696 of the family's 1533-position model. The record is from RNAcentral.